Molecule: ribosomal RNA, 506 nt
Filed under: uncultured bacterium
Lineage: Bacteria
Description: partial 16S ribosomal RNA
Rfam family: Bacterial small subunit ribosomal RNA
Source: RNAcentral
AUUGAACGCUGGCGGCAGGCCUAACACAUGCAAGUCGAACGGUAACAGGAAACAGCUUGCUGUUUCGCUGAUGAGUGGCGGACGGGUGAGUAAUGUCUGGGAAACUGCCUGAUGGAGGGGGAUAACUACUGGAAACGGUAGCUAAUACCGCAUAACGUCGCAAGACCAAAGAGGGGGACCUUCGGGACGUUUGCCAUCGGAUGUGCACAGAUGGGAUUAGCUAGUAGGGGGGGUAACGGCUCACCUAGGCGACGAUCCCUAGCUGGGCUGAGAGGAUGUCCAGCCACACUGGAACUGAGACACGGUCCAUACUCCUACGGGAGGCAGCAGUGGGGAAUAUUGCACAAUGGGCGCAAGCCUGAUGCAGCCAUGUCGCGUGUAUGAAGAAGGCCUUCGGGUUGUAAAGUACUUUCAGCGGGGAGGAAGGGAGUAAAGUUAAUACCUUUGCUCAUUGACGUUACCCGCAGAAGAAGCACCGGCUAACUCCGUGCCAGCAGCCGCGGUAA